This 798-nucleotide ribosomal RNA is filed under the name Bacillus subtilis. RNAcentral's name for it is "bacterial SSU rRNA". It matches the Rfam family "Bacterial small subunit ribosomal RNA", at positions 557 to 1356 of the family's 1533-position model. Lineage: Bacteria; Bacillati; Bacillota; Bacilli; Caryophanales; Bacillaceae. The record is from RNAcentral.
GGCGUAAAGGGCUCGCAGGCGGUUUCUUAAGUCUGAUGUGAAAGCCCCCGGCUCAACCGGGGAGGGUCAUUGGAAACUGGGGAACUUGAGUGCAGAAGAGGAGAGUGGAAUUCCACGUGUAGCGGUGAAAUGCGUAGAGAUGUGGAGGAACACCAGUGGCGAAGGCGACUCUCUGGUCUGUAACUGACGCUGAGGAGCGAAAGCGUGGGGAGCGAACAGGAUUAGAUACCCUGGUAGUCCACGCCGUAAACGAUGAGUGCUAAGUGUUAGGGGGUUUCCGCCCCUUAGUGCUGCAGCUAACGCAUUAAGCACUCCGCCUGGGGAGUACGGUCGCAAGACUGAAACUCAAAGGAAUUGACGGGGGCCCGCACAAGCGGUGGAGCAUGUGGUUUAAUUCGAAGCAACGCGAAGAACCUUACCAGGUCUUGACAUCCUCUGACAAUCCUAGAGAUAGGACGUCCCCUUCGGGGGCAGAGUGACAGGUGGUGCAUGGUUGUCGUCAGCUCGUGUCGUGAGAUGUUGGGUUAAGUCCCGCAACGAGCGCAACCCUUGAUCUUAGUUGCCAGCAUUCAGUUGGGCACUCUAAGGUGACUGCCGGUGACAAACCGGAGGAAGGUGGGGAUGACGUCAAAUCAUCAUGCCCCUUAUGACCUGGGCUACACACGUGCUACAAUGGACAGAACAAAGGGCAGCGAAACCGCGAGGUUAAGCCAAUCCCACAAAUCUGUUCUCAGUUCGGAUCGCAGUCUGCAACUCGACUGCGUGAAGCUGGAAUCGCUAGUAAUCGCGGAUCACAUG